AGGAACAUCUGAACAGCAUCACUCCAUGUGCUAGAGCCUCCCAAGACCAGAUAGGAGAUUCCACAGAAGGUUGUGGAGAAUAGCAGGGCUAAGAUUCUGUGGGACUUCCAGAUCCAGACGGACAGGCAGGU
Chelonoidis abingdonii (Abingdon island giant tortoise) is the source of this 131-nucleotide non-coding RNA. Lineage: Eukaryota; Metazoa; Chordata; Testudines; Testudinidae. The record is from RefSeq and is a predicted model, not a curated record.